RNAcentral lists this ribosomal RNA (804 nucleotides) under uncultured bacterium. Its description in RNAcentral is "bacterial SSU rRNA". It matches the Rfam family "Bacterial small subunit ribosomal RNA", at positions 8 to 795 of the family's 1533-position model. The record is from RNAcentral.
AGAGUUUGAUCCUGGCUCAGAACAAACGGGCGGCGUGCUAACACAUGCAAGUCGUACGAGAAAGGUCUUCGGGGCUGAGUAAAGUGGCGCACGGGUGAGUAACGCGUGGAUAAUCUGCCCUUCAGUUGGGAAUAACUCAUCGAAAGGUGGGCUAAUACCGAAUAAUACUUUGAGACCUUGGUCGAUCAGUCAAAGAGAGCCUCUGCUUGCAUGCCCUCGCUGAAGGAUGAGUCCGCGUACCAUAGCUAGUUGGUAGGGUAAUGGCCUACCAAGGCGACGAUGGUUAGCUGGUCUGAGAGGAUGAUCAGCCACACUGGAACUGAGACACGGUCCAGACUCCUACGGGAGGCAGCAGUGAGGAAUCUUGCGCAAUGGGGGCAACCCUGACGCAGCAACGCCGCGUGAGUGAGGAAGGUCUUCGGAUCGUAAAGCUCUGUCAGAUGGAAAGAACCGCAUGGGGGUGAAUAUCCCCUAUGUCUGACGGUACCAUCAAAGGAAGCACCGGCUAACUCCGUGCCAGCAGCCGCGGUAAUACGGGGGGUGCAAGCGUUGUUCGGAAUUAUUGGGCGUAAAGAGCGUGUAGGCGGCCUGAUGUGUCAGAUGUGAAAGCCCUGGGCUUAACCCAGGAAGUGCAUUUGAAACUGUCAGGCUUGAGUAGGGGAGAGGGAAGUGGAAUUCCUGGUGUAGAGGUGAAAUUCGUAGAUAUCAGGAGGAACACCGGUGGCGAAGGCGACUUCCUGGCCCUAUACUGACGCUGAGACGCGAGAGCGUGGGUAGCAAACAGGAUUAGAUACCCUGGUAGUC